AAUUUUGGACAAUGGGGGAAACCCUGAUCCAGCCAUCCCGCGUGUGUGAUGAAGGCCUNCGGGUUNUNAAGCACUUUUUACAGGGNCGAAAUAGCAGGGGCUAAUAUCCUCAGUGAAUGACGGUACCUGUAGAAUAAGCACCGCCUACCUACGUGCCCGCAGCCGCGGUAAUACGUAGGGUGCAAGCGUUAAUCGGAAUUACUGGGCGGAAAGGGGACGCAAGCGGGUAGGAAAGAAAGAUGUGAAAUCCCAGGGCUCAACCUUGGAACUGCAUUUUUAACUACCUAGCUAGAGUAUGUCAGAGGGGGGUAGAAUUCCACGUGUAGCAGUGAAAUGCGUAGAGAUGUGGAGGAAUACCGAUGGCGAAGGCAGCCCCCUGGGAUAAUACUGACGCUCAGGUACGAAAGCGUGGGGAGCAAACA
RNAcentral lists this ribosomal RNA (422 nucleotides) under uncultured bacterium. Its description in RNAcentral is "partial 16S ribosomal RNA". It matches the Rfam family "Bacterial small subunit ribosomal RNA", at positions 360 to 774 of the family's 1533-position model. The record is from RNAcentral.